Long non-coding RNA from Haplochromis burtoni (Burton's mouthbrooder), 1139 nucleotides. RefSeq lists it as uncharacterized. The record is from RefSeq and is a predicted model, not a curated record. The transcript is spliced from 3 exons. Lineage: Eukaryota; Metazoa; Chordata; Actinopteri; Cichliformes; Cichlidae.
AGAGAGCAGCAGGCUGACACAGAGCGAUGAAGAUGCUGUUACACUGUUAGCCUGAAAAAAAGAUUCUGAUUAGACUCAUUGACACGAUUGAUUCUGCAAAAGUAUGAUUAUUGUGCCCUCCGCCAUUGACUGAAGCCAGGUGCGGCUCGCAUACCGCAUGGCAAAUCACUUUAGAUGCUAUCUGACUCACAGAUCGCCCAACCACCCUGAUGCCUGCUGAGGACUCGAGAGGUCACGCUCUGAGCUCACAGCUCAAAUAUCACGUAGCAACAAAGUCUUAAGGCUUCUGUCUUCUCCUCUCUGUAUGUAACCAAUAAAUCCUCACUUCAUUCAGACGUCAGAGCCGGGCCUGUCUAACCUCUCAAGCGAACACGCUUCAUCCCAAGUUAAGACAGAUCGUUUGGGUUUGAAAUAAAUGUGAGAUGUACAGCAAAGCCAACCAGUCAGAACAUUUUGAUUAACAUGUGUUCAUUUUCAUUGCCAGAUCGCAUGGGGAAGUAAUUAUGUCCCAUUCAUGCCACAUUAGAUUCACUGAAAACAGUUUUAAAUAUAUCAUUGACUACACAUUAACGGUGAACUCACAUUAAUGAGCCUUACUUGAAAAAGCUGAGCAAUAACAUCUGUGCUUCAUCUGAUAGAAAUGCAGAUUCAGCAACUGAGCCAUUAUAAGAAGUAAGAAGUGGCACAUUUAAAGUUGUUAAAUCUUCACUGAGAUUUCUGUUGUUUCUUUAUUGAGGUGAACACUUUAUUAGAAGCCAUCUAUUCAUUUAUCAACAGUUAAUUAUGCUUCACUAAAGUUAAUAAAUCUAUUAAUACUUUCACUUUUAACUACUAUUAGGAUUCAACUGUAGGCAAGUUAACAGUUUGUUAUACUUUUGCAGAUACACUAAAACAAGCGCAAUUUCUUAUUGAGUUUAAGAAAUCCAUGUUAUCAAACACUUAUUCAUGAUUAACUAUCCUUUUUUCAUCUACUGGAUCUGAAGCAUAAACAAAACCCCAUCAGGAUUAUUGAAUGUAUUAUUAUAAACAAUGGCUAACUGUGCAUUUUAAAUAUGCAUGUUAUCAAAGUUGAUAAAUUGUGAAUCAUACAAAAAGAGUAUUUUAUGUGAAGCACAAAAAAAGUAAGCUCUUUUUUUCUU